CCUACGGGAGGCAGCAGUGGGGAAUUUUGGACAAUGGGGGCAACCCUGAUCCAGCCAUGCCGCGUGAGUGAAGAAGGCCUUCGGGUUGUAAAGCUCUUUCGGCCGGAACGAAAUCGCGCACGUGAAUAACGUGCGUGGAUGACGGUACCGGAGUAAGAAGCACCGGCUAACUACGUGCCAGCAGCCGCGGUAAUACGUAGGGUGCGAGCGUUAAUCGGAAUUACUGGGCGUAAAGCGUGCGCAGGCGGUUCGCUAAGUCAGACGUGAAAGCCCCGGGCUUAACCUGGGAACGGCGUUUGAAACUGGCGGGCUCGAGUACGGCAGAGGGGGGUGGAAUUCCACGUGUAGCAGUGAAAUGCGUAGAUAUGUGGAGGAACACCGAUGGCGAAGGCAGCCCCCUGGGCCGAUACUGACGCUCAUGCACGAAAGCGUGGGGAGCAAACAGGAUUAGAUACCCUGGUAGUCCACGCCCUAAACUAUGUCAACUAGUUGUCGGGGAAGCAAUUCCUUGGUAACGCAGCUAACGCGUGAAGUUGACCGCCUGGGGAUACGGUCGCAAGAUUAAAACUUAAGGAAUUGACGG
RNAcentral lists this ribosomal RNA (583 nucleotides) under uncultured bacterium. RNAcentral's name for it is "bacterial SSU rRNA". It matches the Rfam family "Bacterial small subunit ribosomal RNA", at positions 338 to 916 of the family's 1533-position model. The record is from RNAcentral.